This 462-nucleotide ribosomal RNA is filed under the name uncultured bacterium. Its description in RNAcentral is "partial 16S ribosomal RNA". It matches the Rfam family "Bacterial small subunit ribosomal RNA", at positions 28 to 507 of the family's 1533-position model. The record is from RNAcentral.
GAUGAACGCUGACAGAAUGCUUAACACAUGCAAGUCAUUGGCGAAGCUGCGCUUGCGCAGUCUAGCCAAGGCGGACGGGUGAGUAACGCGUAAGGAACUUGCCCUGCAGACAGGGAUAACAGACGGAAACGACUGAUAACACCUGGUAUUGUCAGGCUGGCGCAUGCCGGCCUGAUGAAAGGAGACGCUGCAGGAGAGCCUUGCGUCCUAUUAGCUAGUUGGUGGGGUAACGGCCCACCAAGGCGAUGAUAGGUAGCCGGCCUGAGAGGGUGAACGGCCACAAGGGGACUGAGAUACGGCCCUUACUCCUACGGGAGGCAGCAGUGGAGAAUAUUGGACAAUGGGGGCAACCCUGAUCCAGCAAUUCUGUGUGCACGAAGAAGGUUUUCGGAUUGUAAAGUGCUUUCAGCAGGGAAGAAGAAAGUGACGGUACCUGCAGAAGAAGCGACGGCUAAAUACGUG